Molecule: ribosomal RNA, 915 nt
Filed under: uncultured crenarchaeote
Lineage: Archaea; Thermoproteati; Thermoproteota
Description: bacterial SSU rRNA
Rfam family: Archaeal small subunit ribosomal RNA
Source: RNAcentral
UUCCGGUUGAUCCUGCCGGACCUGACUGCUAUCGGAUUGAUACUAAGCCAUGUGAGUCAUUGUAGCAAUACAAGGCAGACGGCUCAGUAACACGUAGUCAAUCUACCCUAUGGACGGGGAUAACCUCGGGAAACUGAGAAUAACACCCGAUAGAUCAUAAUGCCUGGAACGGUUUAUGGUUCAAACGAUUCGUCGCCGUAGGAUGGGACUGCGGCCUAUCAGCUUGUUGGUGAGGUAAUGGCCCACCAAGGCUAUUACAGGUACGGGCUCUGAGAGGAGAAGCCCGGAGAUGGGUACUGAGACACGGACCCAGGCCCUAUGGGGCGCAGCAGGCGAGAAACCUUUGCAAUGUGCGCAAGCACGACAAGGUUAAUCCGAGUGUUUCCUGCUAAAGGAAUCUUUUGUUAGUUGUAAAACCACUAUCGAAUAAGGGGUGGGCAAGUUCUGGUGUCAGCCGCCGCGGUAAAACCAGCACCUCAAGUGGUCAGGAGGAUUAUUGGGCCUAAAGCAUCCGUAGCCUGUUCUAUAAGUUUCCGGUUAAAUCCAUUAGCUCAACUAAUGGGCUGCCGAAAAUACUGUAGAACUAGGGAGUGGGAGAGGUAGACGGUAUUCGGUAGGAAGGGGUAAAAUCCUUUGAUCUAUCGAGGACCACCUGUGGCGAAGGCGGUNUACCAGAACACGUUCGACGGUGAGGGAUGAAAGCUGGGGGAGCAAACCGGAUUAGAUACCCGGGUAGUCCCAGCCGUAAACGAUGCAGACUCGGUGAUGCCCUGGCUUGUGGCCAGUGCAGUGCCGCAGGGAAGCCGUUAAGUUUGCCGCCUGGGAAGUACGUACGCAAGUAUGAAACUUAAAGGAAUUGGCGGGGGAGCACCACAAGGGGUGAAGCCUGCGGUUCAAUUGGAGUCAACGCCGGGA